RNAcentral lists this ribosomal RNA (397 nucleotides) under uncultured bacterium. RNAcentral describes it as "partial 16S ribosomal RNA". It matches the Rfam family "Bacterial small subunit ribosomal RNA", at positions 523 to 918 of the family's 1533-position model. The record is from RNAcentral.
AUACGUAGGGGGCGAGCGUUGUCCGGAAUGAUUGGGCGUAAAGGGCGCGUAGGCGGCGCGGUAAGUCUGGAGUGAAAGUCCUGCUUUCAAGGUGGGAAUUGCUUUGGAUACUGCCGCGCUUGAGUGCAGGAGAGGUUAUCGGAAUUCCCGGUGUAGCGGUGAAAUGCGUAGAGAUCGGGAGGAACCCCAGUGGCGAAGGCGGGUAACUGGACUGCAACUGACGCUGAGGCGCGAAAGUGUGGGGAGCAAACAGGAUUAGAUACCCUGGUAGUCCACACUGUAAACGAUGAAUGCUAGGUGUAAGAGGUAUCGACCCCUUUUGUGCCGGAGUCAACACAAUAAGCAUUCCGCCUGGGGAGUACGGCCGCAAGGUUGAAACUCAAAGGAAUUGACGGGU